UUUUAUUGUGUGGAGCCAGAGGAAACAUGAGGAACAACCAGGCACCAACAGCACAUUAAGAAGAUGUCAAUGCAUGCACAUUAACAGCAUGUCAAUGCAUGCACAUUAACAGCAUGUCAAUGAGAAGUGAAUCCAGAUUCUGUUUUUAAGGGCAUUAUAUUCCAAGAAAGAUGAGAGGAGCUGACACAUCUGUCUCACACCAGCAUUGUAUCUAGUGUUGUCUAAAGGAGGAUUCCUGCCUCAAGGAACCAGCAGCCUUCAGGUGUGAUCUGAUAAGAUGCAGAACACCAUAACGGAGACAUUUCUACUAGGUUUGGUGGGGAAAAAGGCUGCAUGUUUGGCUGCAUGUUUGCUGAGAAUGGAAGCGAUACAGCAGUGCCCACAGCCUAAAACCUAUUAUGUGAUGAAUUAUCUGGAAUAAACAGUAAAGGUAGUGGAA
Vidua chalybeata is the source of this 439-nucleotide long non-coding RNA. RefSeq lists it as uncharacterized. The transcript has 2 exons. The record is from RefSeq and is a predicted model, not a curated record. Lineage: Eukaryota; Metazoa; Chordata; Aves; Passeriformes; Viduidae.